RNAcentral lists this small RNA (136 nucleotides) under Bacillus glycinifermentans. RNAcentral describes it as "c-di-AMP sequence". It matches the Rfam family "c-di-AMP riboswitch aptamer (ydaO/yuaA leader)". From Rfam's summary of the family: This family represents a conserved RNA structure found upstream of the ydaO and yuaA genes in Bacillus subtilis and related genes in other bacteria. The ydaO/yuaA element is thought to act as a genetic "off" switch for the ydaO and yuaA genes in its native state. It is believed that the element may be triggered during osmotic shock leading to activation of ydaO, a predicted amino acid transporter gene, and members of the yuaA-yubG operon which code for KtrA and KtrB K+ transporters. The record is from RNAcentral. Lineage: Bacteria; Bacillati; Bacillota; Bacilli; Caryophanales; Bacillaceae.
UAACGCCACGCGUUUAAUCCUUUAGUAGGAGUGGGGGACCCGAUCUUUUGGGGUGAAUUUUUCCGUUUUAGCGGAAAAACGGACAUCUCUUCGUCCGAACCCGUCAGCUAACCUCAUCGACGUGAAGAGAGUCAUG